Molecule: long non-coding RNA, 1295 nt
Organism: Vicia villosa (hairy vetch)
Lineage: Eukaryota; Viridiplantae; Streptophyta; Magnoliopsida; Fabales; Fabaceae
Exons: 2
Source: RefSeq, a predicted model, not a curated record
ACAUACCUUACUGAUUUUUCAAUUUUUUAUUUUUUAUUUUUAUUUUUCUAUUUUAUUAUUUAAUUGUUCUUCCAUUUUUGUAGCUGUCUUUGGCUCUACUGUGAAAUUUCUCCAUCUUUGGCUCUACAAAUUUAGUUUGUGAAAAUAUUAUAGAUGUAGGGUUGAAAAUUGAUAUAAAGAAAAAGCAAAUUAAAAGAUAACUCAUUCAUGUUUUUUAACUUCAUAGAUUGCAAUCACUGGUGUUUGGAACAAACUUCAUAGAUUGCAAUCACUGGUGUUUGGAACAAACUUCAUAGAUAAAGCAGACUGGAAGCCCUUACUUUCGGUAAAGCCUUUCCAUCAUUGGUAUUUAUUUGUGUUAAAUAUAUUAACCACUUUUGUAGGUUCCUGUUAAAAGUGAUAAGUCCAAUACAUUUAAGGUUGUUAGUGUAAUUGCUAUAUAUUAUUAACAUGGCACUCAUGCAUUUGAAUUUGACAUUUGACAACAGAUAAUACAACCAAUAAUAUGUCAUUGACAAUUCAAUCACCCUGUUCAGAUCAAUUUCCUUUGGUGCAGCAAUCUCCAUAUGGGGCCGAGAAAGCACAACUGCAUUUUUUCUGGCUGUUGUUUAUAUUCAUUUUAAUUUAAAUGUACUUCAGUCUGAUAGUUUAUUUGGAUAUUAAUGCAGGCUCAAGUGUUGAACAUAGAUAUAUUUGAAGCUAUAUAUACUAUCAUGCUCUAAAAACUUCAUCUAACAUAGUACAUCCACUGAACAGGAAGUGAUUUUGGACAUGGCUUCACAACAAACUUUUUGAUUUUUUCCUUACCUUUUCUUUUCCAGGUCAACAGAAUGAUGCAAACUCUCUAACAUUUUCUCAAUAUGAUGCAAUUGUUGCCGAACCUGAACAAGAACCAAAAUCAUAUGGAAACUCACCACUUCCCUUAGCUGCAGAUAGAACAAGAAGAAAAGAUCCUUUAGAUGGCUUCAUUGUGUACACUAAUGGAUGAAAUAUAAGUGACCACCAUUAUUGGGUUGGGAUUUGAAGAAAAUGUUGUCAGGACCAAUUGGAUUACAUAAUCAAGAUCGAAAGUUGUUUUACAAAGACAAAUAAAGAGAUUCAAAGGAUUUUCUUGACAUAGUUGGUGUAAAGGACAAAUCAAAAGUUAUUUCUUGUGAUGCAAUGUUUCCAAUUAAGUUAAGCUCGAUGUGACUAUUGACAAUAUAUUUACCACUUGAAGAACAUCUUGCAGAAUGUAGUUUGUUGCUGUUAGUUAAAUCCUUUCCCUUUAUCAAAGUACACAAAUAUUUGGAAAA